Molecule: long non-coding RNA, 390 nt
Filed under: Homo sapiens (human)
Lineage: Eukaryota; Metazoa; Chordata; Mammalia; Primates; Hominidae
Description: non-protein coding lnc-BRD3-1:7
Source: RNAcentral
GGGCCGGCCCAACGCUUUAAAGGGACAGCACGGGGCGCGCGCUUCCCGCUUAAAAGCUUUAAUCCCCGAAUUUGACUGGUGCAGGCCCUUCUAAUGCACUUCCUAAAAACUGAAGUAUAAUAAUACAUACAGGAAAGUGCUAGUGUGCCCUCGCGUUUCCACAGACAGCACGCCCUGUACACAGACACCAGCGGCCCUCCGGGACCUGCGCAGGUGGCGUCGCCCGGCGUUGUCUCCGGAGUCGAUUCGGGCCGGGGCACCUCCCCGGGCGACCAGGCCCCUUCUUGAUCAUCGCUGGUACGGAUGAGAGCGGCAGUGGGCAUUUGGAAAGCACCUGGGGCCGCGCCCGGGCGCAGUGCCCCCAUGUGGCCUCCCACCCCGGGCGGGCAG